AAAUUGAAGAGUUUGAUCAUGGCUCAGAUUGAACGCUGGCGGCAGGCCUAACACAUGCAAGUCGAACGGUAACAGGAAACAGCUUGCUGUUUCGCUGACGAGUGGCGGACGGGUGAGUAAUGUCUGGGAAACUGCCUGAUGGAGGGGGAUAACUACUGGAAACGGUAGCUAAUACCGCAUAAUGUCGCAAGACUAAAGAGGGGGACCUUCGGGCCUCUUGCCAUCGGAUGUGCCCAGAUGGGAUUAGCUAGUAGGUGGGGUAACGGCUCACCUAGGCGACGAUCCCUAGCUGGUCUGAGAGGAUGACCAGCCACACUGGAACUGAGACACGGUCCAGACUCCUACGGGAGGCAGCAGUGGGGAAUAUUGCACAAUGGGCGCAAGCCUGAUGCAGCCAUGCCGCGUGUAUGAAGAAGGCCUUCGGGUUGUAAAGUACUUUCAGCGGGGAGGAAGGGAGUAAAGUUAAUACCUUUACUCAUUGACGUUACCCGCAGAAGAAGCACCGGC
RNAcentral lists this ribosomal RNA (507 nucleotides) under Shigella sonnei. RNAcentral's name for it is "bacterial SSU rRNA". It matches the Rfam family "Bacterial small subunit ribosomal RNA", at positions 1 to 497 of the family's 1533-position model. The record is from RNAcentral. Lineage: Bacteria; Pseudomonadati; Pseudomonadota; Gammaproteobacteria; Enterobacterales; Enterobacteriaceae.